AGGGGCGCUGACACCUCCCGUCUAACUGGUAGACAGUUUCUGCCUCUUCUUGUUUGGGGAUUGGAGAGGGAAGUGCGUCUGGAUGACUACUAAGAUGAGGAGGCUGAGGCCUAGUGCUCCUAGCGGGCUUGGUCAAGAGCAGGAGGCGGAGGUGGUGGAAGGCUGUUUCCCUGCGAGAAUACACUGCAUCGAACACAGAACAAAAAGACUCACUACAACGCUGCAGCCACAAUAGUGUGUGAUUUCAAGUCUUAAAAACCAGAAUCACUUUCUUCUCUGGACUGGAAGCAUAUUUAUUUUGGCCGAAUAACAGAGUACACCAGUCAUCAUAAGAAGAAAAAUUCACAUUUAAAGUUUGGAAAGCAACAGGACAAAGUUCAUAGGUUUCAGAAUAACGCAACUACGGUGCAAGUGGAACUUGAGAAUGAAUGAACAUUCAGGAUUGAGGAUGGAUGCGGUCAGUAACUGUUGUCACCCAUUGAGAGUAUCCUACAAAGAUGGUCUCAAAGUACUUUGAGAUGAACAGAAUGUUCUAUAAAUGGGUAUUGAAAAUAAUCAAGACAUUCAUGGAUCCAAACAGGCCACAGAAAUACCAUAGCAACAAAUGAACAAUAAUUGCUGCAUUAUGGGCUCUUUCCCCAGCUGCACUCAUGCAAUCAAAGCUCUGCUGCGUCUUCAGAGGAGCCCAGGUCAGAUCUGGCUGCCAUCACCCAUGAGGAAGACGUGCGGAGCCAGACAGGUGCCUGGAGGAAAGGUGGGUGUGUGCUGUCCUGCCCCAUCCUCUCUGUUUCCCUCCCACGUGUUUGCAGAGACGUCCUCAGCAUGGAACCAGGGCCCUUGACAGAGACAUUGUCAUUCUGGACACCCCACACCCAAGCCAGUUCAUCCAAGUCACCCGAUAAAAUUGUGCUCUGAAGAAACUGCCUGUUUCAGCAAACUCCUUACCUUACUGGACGCAUAGCGAUGGCCAGCACAGGAUGAGGCCAUGGGAGGAUCUUAAUGACACAGUCCACUCUGCAAACCAAGGUCAACAAGGCAGCAGGUAUGGCCACGGCCCCUCACCGUGGACUCUGUACGAGCCAAUACACUGUGUUCUAUUCCCCAGUUAUUUCUGAAUACGGCCACAGGGAGAUGUGAGCCAGCCCUCCUUCUCUAGGGCACACAGAGGCUAGAAAAGAUCCACAGGACCUGUUCAACUUGCCAGUGAUCCCAAACUCCUGACCCAGGCAGAUCACUAAGAGAGAGAGAGAAAUAUUCCCUUUUCUAGGAAGGUCCUCUGGCCUCACCCAGCUCCAUGAUGUGUCCACUAGCUCGAGACACCCCAGUUAUUGGGGGCAUCUUCUCCAACAGUAGGGAGGACUGCGGCGAGGGCAGCUGUGGAGAUGGUAGAAUCUUUCCUGUGGGAUUCUGGAAUGUUGUGUCCCCUCUGGAAGAGACACAAGGAGUGAGGGCGAGACUGGAAAGGGUGUGGAAGGGAGAACCUUCCUUAUUGCCUAGCGUCCCUCAGGGGCCAGUGACCAACCUUAUUAGCCACCUCUGUGCAUUCAACCACUUCCUCUCUCCUGAGGCAGCCCGAGCCUGAAUAUCUCAGCAAGGCAUUAAGAAAGGCUUUAAUAAUUGAUUUAAUUAAAGUCUAAAAAUUAUAGAACCA
This is a long non-coding RNA of Homo sapiens (human), 1651 nucleotides long. Ensembl annotates it as long intergenic non-protein coding RNA 683. Lineage: Eukaryota; Metazoa; Chordata; Mammalia; Primates; Hominidae. The record is from Ensembl.